CCUACGGGAGGCUGCAGUCGAGAAUCAUUCACAAUGGGGGAAACCCUGAUGGUGCGACACCGCGUGGGGGAAUGAAGGUCUUCGGAUUGUAAACCCCUGUCAUGUGGGAGCAAAUUAAAAAGAUAGUACCACAAGAGGAAGAGACGGUUAACUCUGUGCCAGCAGCCGCGGUAAUACAGAGGUCUCAAGCGUUGUUCGGAAUCACUGGGCGUAAAGCGUGCGUAGGCGGUUUCGUAAGUCGUGUGUGAAAGGGGCGGGCUCAACCCGCGGACGGCAGAUGAUACUGGGAGACUAGAGUAAUGGAGGGGUAACCGGAAGUCUCGGUGUAGCAGUGAAAUGCGUAGAUAUCGAGAGGAACACUCGUGGCGAAGGCGGGUUCCUGGACAUUAACUGACGCUGAGGCACGAAGGCCAGGGGAGCGAAAGGGAUUAGAUACCCGGGUAGUC
This 446-nucleotide ribosomal RNA is filed under the name uncultured bacterium. Its description in RNAcentral is "partial 16S ribosomal RNA". It matches the Rfam family "Bacterial small subunit ribosomal RNA", at positions 338 to 795 of the family's 1533-position model. The record is from RNAcentral.